UCNGGAUUUAUUGGGCGUAAAGGGAGCGCAGGCGGUCAGGAAAGUCUGGAGUAAAAGGCUAUGGCUCAACCAUAGUGUGCUCUGGAAACUGUNUGACUUGAGUGCAGGAGGGGAGAGUGGAAUUCCAUGUGUAGCGGUGAAAUGCGUAGAUAUAUGGAGGAACACCAGUGGCGAAAGCGGCUCUCUGGUCUGUCACUGACGCUGAGGCUCGAAAGCGUGGGUAGCGAACAGGAUUAGAUACCCUGGUAGUCCACGCCGUAAACGAUGAGUGCUAGGUGUUAGGCCCUUUCUGGGGCUUAGUGCCGGAGCUAACGCAAUAAGCACUCCGCCUGGGGAGUACGACCGCAAGGUUGAAACUCAAAGGAAUUGACGGGGGCCCGCACAAGCGGUGGAGCAUGUGGUUUAAUUCGAAGCAACGCGAAGAACCUUACCAGGUCUUGACAUCCCGAUGCUAUUCUUAGAGAUAGGAAGUUACUUCGGUACAUCGGAGACAGGUGGUGCAUGGUUGUCGUCAGCUCGUGUCGUGAGAUGUUGGGUUAAGUCCCGCAACGAGCGCAACCCUUAUUGUUAGUUGCCAUCAUUAAGUUGGGCACUCUAGCGAGACUGCCGGUAAUAAACCGGAGGAAGGCGGGGAUGACGUCAAAUCAUCAUGCCCCUUAUGACCUGGGCUACACACGUGCUACAAUGGUCGGUACAACGAGUUGCGAGCCGGUGACGGCAAGCUAAUCUCUGAAAGCCGAUCUCAGUUCGGAUUGGAGGCUGCAACUCGCCUCCAUGAAGUCGGAAUCGCUAGUAAUCGCGGAUCAGCACGCCGCGGUGAAUACGUUCCCGGGCCUUGUAC
RNAcentral lists this ribosomal RNA (841 nucleotides) under uncultured bacterium. Its description in RNAcentral is "bacterial SSU rRNA". It matches the Rfam family "Bacterial small subunit ribosomal RNA", at positions 544 to 1386 of the family's 1533-position model. The record is from RNAcentral.